AACUAACAAGGAUUCCCCUAGUAACUGCGAGUGAAGCGGGAAAAGCUCAAAUUUAAAAUCUGGCGGUCUUUGGCUGUCCGAGUUGUAAUCUAGAGAAGUGUUAUCCGUGCUGGACCGUGUACAAGUCUCCUGGAAUGGAGCGUCAUAGAGGGUGAGAAUCCCGUCUUUGACACGGACUGCCAGGACUUUGUGAUGCGCUCUCAAAGAGUCGAGUUGUUUGGGAAUGCAGCUCAAAAUGGGUGGUAAAUUCCAUCUAAAGCUAAAUAUUGGCGAGAGACCGAUAGCGAACAAGUACCGUGAGGGAAAGAUGAAAAGAACUUUGGAAAGAGAGUUAAACAGUACGUGAAAUUGCUGAAAGGGAAACGCUUGAAGUCAGUCGCGUUGUCCAGGGAUCAACCUUGCUUUUGCUUGGUGCACUUUCUGGUUGACGGGUCAGCAUCAAUUUUGACUAUUGGAAAAAGAUUAGGGGAAUGUGGCAUCUUCGGAUGUGUUAUAGCCCUUGGUUGCAUACAAUGGUUGGGAUUGAGGAACUCAGCACGCCGCAAGGCCGGGUUUUAACCACGUACGUGCUUAGGAUGCUGGCAUAAUGGCUUUAAUCGACCCGUCUUGAAACACGGACCAAGGAGUCUAACAUGCCUGCGAGUGUUUGGGUGGAAAACUCGAGCGCGUAAUGAAAGUGAAAGUUGAGAUCCCUGUCGUGGGGAGCAUCGACGCCCGGACCAGACCUUUUGUGACGGUUCCGCGGUAGAGCAUGUAUGUUGGGACCCGAAAGAUGGUGAACUAUGCCUGAAUAGGGUGAAGCCAGAGGAAACUCUGGUGGAGGCUCGUAGCGAUUCUGACGUGCAAAUCGAUCGUCAAAUUUGGGUAUAGGGGCGAAAGACUAAUCGAACCAUCUAGUAGCUGG
This 904-nucleotide ribosomal RNA is filed under the name Cortinarius castaneodiscus. RNAcentral describes it as "partial large subunit ribosomal RNA". It matches the Rfam family "Eukaryotic large subunit ribosomal RNA", at positions 63 to 954 of the family's 3401-position model. Lineage: Eukaryota; Fungi; Basidiomycota; Agaricomycetes; Agaricales; Cortinariaceae. The record is from RNAcentral.